Molecule: ribosomal RNA, 467 nt
Filed under: uncultured bacterium
Lineage: Bacteria
Description: partial 16S ribosomal RNA
Rfam family: Bacterial small subunit ribosomal RNA
Source: RNAcentral
GACGAACGCUGGCGGCGUGCUUAACACAUGCAAGUCGAACGGAAAGGCCUCUUUCGGGGGGUACUCGAGUGGCGAACGGGUGAGUAACACGUGAGUAACCUGCCCUUGACUUUGGGAUAACUUCAGGAAACUGGGGCUAAUACCGGAUAGGAGCUCCUGCUGCAUGGUGGGGGUUGGAAAGUUUCGGCGGUUGGGGAUGGACUCGCGGCUUAUCAGCUUGUUGGUGGGGUAGUGGCUUACCAAGGCUUUGACGGGUAGCCGGCCUGAGAGGGUGACCGGCCGCCUUGGGACUGAGAUACGGCCCAGACUCCUACGGGAGGCAGCAGUGGGGAAUAUUGCACAAUGGGUGGAAGCCUGAUGCAGCAACGCCGUGUGCGGGAUGACGGCCUUCGGGUUGUAAACCGCUUUCGCUCAUGACGAAGCUUUGUGUGACGGUAGUGGGUAAAGAAGCACCGGCUAACUACGUG